RNAcentral lists this ribosomal RNA (497 nucleotides) under uncultured bacterium. RNAcentral's name for it is "partial 16S ribosomal RNA". It matches the Rfam family "Bacterial small subunit ribosomal RNA", at positions 28 to 507 of the family's 1533-position model. The record is from RNAcentral.
GAUGAACGCUGGCGGCGUGCCUAAUACAUGCAAGUCGAGCGAACAGAUGAUGAGCUUGCUCCUCUGACGUUAGCGGCGGACGGGUGAGUAACACGUGGAUCGCCUACUUCUUAUACGGGGAUAACUACGGGAAGCCACAUCUACUACUGGAGCAUAUAUUGAACGGCAGGGUUCAGUAGUUCAAGACACUUUUGCUGUCACUUUUAGCUGGAUCCGCGUCGGAUUAGCUAGUUGGUAAGGUAACGGCUUACCAAGGCGACGAUGCGUAGCCGACCUGAGAGGAUGAUCGGCCACACUGGAACUGAGACACGGUCCAGACUCCUACGGGAGGCAGCAGUAGGGAAUAUUGCACAAUGGGCGAAAGCCUGACGCAGCAACGCCGCGUGAGUGAUGAAGGUCUUCGGGUCGUAAAACUCUGUUGUUGGGGAAGAAAAGAUGUAUAUGUAAAUAUGGACGUCUUGACGGUACCUAAUCAGAAAGCACCGGCUAACUACGUG